GGGAAUGUAGCUAAGUGAUAGAGCACUUGCUUAGUAUGUAUGAAGCCCUGGGCUCAAUCCCCAGUAUUGCAA
This 72-nucleotide transfer RNA is filed under the name Heterocephalus glaber (naked mole-rat). It matches the Rfam family "tRNA". From Rfam's summary of the family: Transfer RNA (tRNA) molecules are approximately 80 nucleotides in length. Their secondary structure includes four short double-helical elements and three loops (D, anti-codon, and T loops). The record is from Rfam by way of RNAcentral. Lineage: Eukaryota; Metazoa; Chordata; Mammalia; Rodentia; Bathyergidae.